UACGGAGGAUGCGAGCGUUAUCCGGAUUUAUUGGGUUUAAAGGGUGCGUAGGCGGAAAAAUAAGUCAGUGGUGAAAACCUUCAGCUUAACUGGAGACUUGCCAUUGAUACUGUUAUUCUUGAGUAUAGUUAAGGUAGGCGGAAUGUGUAAUGUAGCGGUGAAAUGCUUAGAUAUUACACAGAACACCAAUUGCGAAGGCAGCUUACUGAGCUAUAACUGACGCUGAUGCACGAAAGCGUGGGGAGCGAACAGGAUUAGAUACCCUGGUAGUCCACGCCGUAAACGAUGAUCACUCGCUGUUGGCGAUACACAGUCAGCGGCUAAGCAAAAGCAUUAAGUGAUCCACCUGGGGAGUACGGCCGCAAGGCUGAA
RNAcentral lists this ribosomal RNA (372 nucleotides) under uncultured bacterium. Its description in RNAcentral is "bacterial SSU rRNA". It matches the Rfam family "Bacterial small subunit ribosomal RNA", at positions 524 to 898 of the family's 1533-position model. The record is from RNAcentral.